UGCCAGCCGCCGCGGUAAUACGGAGGGUGCAAGCGUUAAUCGGAAUUACUGGGCGUAAAGCGCGCGUAGGCGGUUUGUUUAGUCAGAUGUGAAAGCCCCGGGCUCAACCUGGGAACUGCAUCUGAUACUGGCAGGCUAGAGUACAGGAGAGGGAAGUGGAAUUCCGAGUGUAGGGGUGAAAUCCGUAGAUAUUCGGAGGAACACCAGUGGCGAAGGCGGCUUUCUGGACCGAUACUGACGCUGAGACGCGAAAGCGUGGGGAGCAAACAGGAUUAGAUA
Molecule: ribosomal RNA, 279 nt
Filed under: uncultured bacterium
Lineage: Bacteria
Description: partial 16S ribosomal RNA
Rfam family: Bacterial small subunit ribosomal RNA
Source: RNAcentral